Molecule: ribosomal RNA, 119 nt
Filed under: Pteropus alecto (black flying fox)
Lineage: Eukaryota; Metazoa; Chordata; Mammalia; Chiroptera; Pteropodidae
Source: RNAcentral
UAAGAGAGCCAUGCUACCCUGAACAAGCCCAAUCUUGUCUGAUCUUGGAAGCUAAGCAGGGUCAGGCCUGGUUAGUACUUGUAUGGGAGACCACCUAGGAAGACCAGGUGCUGUAGGCA